AGUGGCGCACGGGUGCGUAACGCGUGGGAAUCUGCCCUUGGGUUCGGAAUAACAGUUAGAAAUGACUGCUAAUACCGGAUGAUGACGAAAGUCCAAAGAUUUAUCGCCCAGGGAUGAGCCCGCGUAGGAUUAGGUAGUUGGUGGGGUAAAGGCUCACCAAGCCGACGAUCCUUAGCUGGUCUGAGAGGAUGAUCAGCCACACUGGGACUGAGACACGGCCCAGACUCCUACGGGAGGCAGCAGUGGGGAAUAUUGGACAAUGGGCGCAAGCCUGAUCCAGCAAUGCCGCGUGAGUGAUGAAGGCCUUAGGGUCGUAAAGCUCUUUUACCAGGGAUGAUAAUGACAGUACCUGGAGAAUAAGCUCCGGCUAACUCCGUGCCAGCAGCCGCGGUAAUACGGAGGGAGCUAGCGUUGUUCGGAAUUACUGGGCGUAAAGCGCACGUAGGCGGCUACACAAGUCAGAGGUGAAAGCCCAGGGCUCAACCCCGGAACUGCCUUUGAAACUAGGUGGCUAGAAUCUUGGAGAGGUCAGUGGAAUUCCGAGUGUAGAGGUGAAAUUCGUAGAUAUUCGGAAGAACACCAGUGGCGAAGGCGACUGACUGGACAAGUAUUGACGCUGAGGUGCGAAAGCGUGGGGAGCAUACAGGAUUAGAUACCCUGGUAGUCCACGCCGUAAACGAUGAUAACUAGCUGUCCGGGU
RNAcentral lists this ribosomal RNA (700 nucleotides) under uncultured Alphaproteobacteria bacterium. Its description in RNAcentral is "bacterial SSU rRNA". It matches the Rfam family "Bacterial small subunit ribosomal RNA", at positions 94 to 829 of the family's 1533-position model. Lineage: Bacteria; Pseudomonadati; Pseudomonadota; Alphaproteobacteria. The record is from RNAcentral.